GGAGGUCCGAACCCACGAGCGUUGAAAAGCUCGGGGAUGACUUGUGGGUAGCGGUGAAAUUCCAAUCGAGCCCGGAGAUAGCUGGUUCUCCCCGAAAUAGCUUUAGGGCUAGCCUCAAGGUGAGAGAUACGGAGGUAGAGCACUGAAUGUCCUAGGGGGUAUUGCACCUACCGAAGACUAUCAAACUCCGAAUGCCGUCAUCUUAUACUUGGGAGUCAGACUGUGGGUGAUAAGAUUCAUAGUCGAAAGGGCAACAGCCCAGAUCGUCAGCUAAGGUCCCUAAAUGUAAGUUAAGUGGUAAAGGAUGUGGGAUUGCACAGACAACCAGGAUGUUGGCUUAGAAGCAGCCACUCAUUCAAAGAGUGCGUAAUAGCUCACUGGUCGAGUGAUCCUGCGCCGAAGAUUUCCGGGGCUAAAACUUACUACCGAAGCUACGGCAUCAGUAAUGAUGGGUAGGGGAGCUUCCCAUACGGGUUGAAGCAUGACCGUAAGGACAUGUGGACAGUAUGGGAGUGAGAAUGUUGGCAUGAGUAGCGAGAUGUGGGUGAGAAUCCCACAGGCCGUAAACCCAAGGUUUCCAGGGGAAGGUUCGUCCGCCCUGGGUUAGUCGGGACCUAAGCUGAGGCCGAAAGGCGUAGGUGAUGGACAACAGGUUGAUAUUCCUGUACUACCGAUAACCGUUUGAGAGAUGGGAUGACACAGUAGGAUAAGCUAAGCACACUGUUGGUUAUGUGUGCCCAAGCAUUGAGGCAGUCAAAGUAGGCAAAUCCGCUUUGAUAAUGCUGGGAUGUGAUGGGGAGCGAAAUUUAGUAGCGAAGUAGCUGAUUUCACACUGUCAAGAAAAGUCUCGAUCGAGGUUAAAGGUACCCGUACCGCAAACCGACACAGGUGGGUGAGGAGAGUAUCCUAAGGCUAGCGAGAGAACUGUUGUUAAGGAACUCGGCAAAAUGACCCCGUAACUUAGGGAUAAGGGGUGCCACCAUCAGGUGGCCGCAGAGAAUAGGCCCAAGCGACUGUUUACCAAAAACAUAGGUUUCUGCUAAGUCGCAAGACGAUGUAUAGGAGCUGACGCCUGCCCGGUGCUGGAAGGUUAAGGGGAUCUGUUAGAGCAAUCGAAGCAGUGAACUUAAGCCCCAGUAAACGGCGGCCGUAACUAUAACGGUCCUAAGGUAGCGAAAUUCCUUGUCGGGUAAGUUCCGACCCGCACGAAAGGCGUAACGAUUUGGGCACUGUCUCA
Molecule: ribosomal RNA, 1237 nt
Filed under: Clostridioides difficile
Lineage: Bacteria; Bacillati; Bacillota; Clostridia; Peptostreptococcales; Peptostreptococcaceae
Description: bacterial LSU rRNA
Rfam family: Bacterial large subunit ribosomal RNA
Source: RNAcentral